Molecule: ribosomal RNA, 445 nt
Filed under: uncultured bacterium
Lineage: Bacteria
Description: partial 16S ribosomal RNA
Rfam family: Bacterial small subunit ribosomal RNA
Source: RNAcentral
CCAGACUCCUACGGGAGGCAGCAGUGGGGAAUAUUGCACAAUGGGGGAAACCCUGAUGCAGCAACGCCGCGUGAGUGAGGAAGUAUUUCGGUAUGUAAAGCUCUAUCAGCAGGGAAUAGAAAAGAAGGUACCUGAAAAAGAAGCCCCGGCUAACUACGUGCCAGCAGCCGCGGUAAUACGUAGGGGGCAAGCGUUAUCCGGAUUCACUGGGUGUAAAGGGAGCGUAGACGGCCAUGCAAGCCAGGGGUGAAAGCCCGGGGCCCAACCCCGGGACUGCCCUUGGAACUGCAUGGCUGGAGUGCGGGAGGGGCAGGCGGAAUUCCUGGUGUAGCGGUGAAAUGCGUAGAUAUCAGGAGGAACACCGGCGGCGAAGGCGGCCUGCUGGACUGCAACUGACGUUGAGGCCCGAAAGCGUGGGGAGCAAACAGGAUUAGAUACCCUUGUA